UCCGGGCCGGUUUUUUCUGUAAGGGACUGACCGAUGGGCCAUAUCUGUCAGAAAGGGCAUCUAUACGUAGAAAUACAAGGAUUACAACAUACUGCCUGUAUCUUGAUACGUAUUUGCAAAAAGUUUUAAAGAUAACACAAAUUUAUGAAUACAGCCCGAAUUAUGAUACUCUUUUGCAAUUAACUCCACUCGCACGUCAUGGG
RNAcentral lists this long non-coding RNA (203 nucleotides) under Hordeum vulgare. Its description in RNAcentral is "long non-coding RNA (HVUL_LNC006873)". Lineage: Eukaryota; Viridiplantae; Streptophyta; Magnoliopsida; Poales; Poaceae. The record is from RNAcentral.